This 497-nucleotide ribosomal RNA is filed under the name uncultured bacterium. Its description in RNAcentral is "partial 16S ribosomal RNA". It matches the Rfam family "Bacterial small subunit ribosomal RNA", at positions 29 to 507 of the family's 1533-position model. The record is from RNAcentral.
AAUGAACGCUGGCGGCAUGCCUAACACAUGCAAGUCGAACGGACGCACUGGGAGCUUUCUCCCCUACCGGUGGCGACUGCCGGGUGAGUAACCCGUGCAUCCGCUACCACUAAUACUUGGCUGACUUCGUAAAGCCAGAUCUACUACCACCUAAUAUGUUCCACCGCAGGAUUCACUAGUUCUUGACGCUUUUGCUGUCACUUUUAGCUGGUUCCGCGCCGGAUUAGCUAGUUGGUAAGGUCACGGCUUACCAAGGCACCGAUGCGUAGCCGACCUGAGAGGGUGAUCAGCCACACGGGAACUGAGACACGGUCCAGACUCCUACGGGAGGCAGCAGUGGGGAAUCUUGCGCAAGGGGCGAAAGCCUGAUGGAGCAACACCGCGUGAGUGAUGAAGGUCUUCGGAUCGUAAAGCUCUGUUAUUGGGGAAGAAGAAAAGCGGGUGUAACCGUGGACGUCCUGACGGUACCGAGAGAGUAAGCCCCGGCUAACUUCGUG